UGGGGAAUCUUGGACAAUGGGGGCAACCCUGAUCCAGCGACGCCGCGUGGGUGACGAAGGCCUUCGGGUUGUAAAGCCCUUUUGUCGGGGACGAUGAUGACGGUACCCGGCGAAUAAGCACCGGCUAACUCCGUGCCAGCAGCCGCGGUAAGACGGAGGGUGCUAGCGUUGUUCGGAUUUACUGGGCGUAAAGGGCGCGUAGGCGGCCGUGUCAGUCGGGUGUGAAAGCCCGGGGCUCAACCCCGGAACGGCACCCGAGACGGCAGGGCUGGAGACCGGGAGAGGAGAGUGGAAUAGCCAGUGUAGAGGUGAAAUUCGUAGAUAUUGGCUGGAACACCGGUGGCGAAAGCGGCUCUCUGGCCCGGUUCUGACGCUGAGGCGCGAAAGCGUGGGGAGCAAACA
RNAcentral lists this ribosomal RNA (402 nucleotides) under uncultured prokaryote. RNAcentral's name for it is "bacterial SSU rRNA". It matches the Rfam family "Bacterial small subunit ribosomal RNA", at positions 355 to 774 of the family's 1533-position model. The record is from RNAcentral.